CUGAGUGUAAUGUCAGUCCGGUUAGACGGCCUGCUUUGGAAGCAGGAGGCCGAAGGUUCAAAUCCUUCCACUCAGACCA
This 79-nucleotide transfer RNA is filed under the name Burkholderia territorii. RNAcentral describes it as "tRNA-Pro". It matches the Rfam family "tRNA". From Rfam's summary of the family: Transfer RNA (tRNA) molecules are approximately 80 nucleotides in length. Lineage: Bacteria; Pseudomonadati; Pseudomonadota; Betaproteobacteria; Burkholderiales; Burkholderiaceae. The record is from RNAcentral.